Long non-coding RNA from Triticum dicoccoides, 406 nucleotides. RefSeq lists it as uncharacterized. The record is from RefSeq and is a predicted model, not a curated record. Lineage: Eukaryota; Viridiplantae; Streptophyta; Magnoliopsida; Poales; Poaceae. The transcript is spliced from 3 exons.
CAAAUAAGCUCCUUACUUCCUACGGUAUACUUAUCAUAGUUGCUUCCUUUGAUUUACAGGCAUAUCAACUCCAGAAGAUGUGCACAACGAAGUUAAGCCGGAUAUGCAAGAAGGAAGAUGUUUCAUCAUGUUGACCACUAUAGAUUUGAAGUCCAGUUCUGGAGCACUUGAACAUGCUAGGAUCUUUGGAUCUUGGAGACAUAUACAGGUCAUAUUGACUACGUAUUUCCUUACAAUUACAAAUGUACCAUACUUGUUGUAAUAUGAACUUCUGGACAAUAUGGCACAUAUAUGAAUUAUGAAGUGUUUUUUGAAAGAUAUAGCAAUAAAUAAUGAUUGCCUAACUUGUUGUCCACAUAAUUUAUGUCACUUCAUACCUAACCAGACCAUUUAUUUCUAAGAUAAG